GGGGAUUUUGGUGAUAAGGUGGAGCAGGUGCACUGAGUUGUGUGGUUUGGUGAUUGCAGAAGGGCUGCAGGUGGGUGGUUGCUGGCUUAGGGCUGCCUCCGUGGGGGCACUGCCUUGCUGUGGUGCUGGGACACAGGAGUGGAACUUGGCCUUGGCCUUAUGGGCUGGAAGAUUUGAAGCGUGCUGGCUGUGUGCCAGCAGGGAUGAAAGCAGGGCCUCAUGUUGGAGGGGUCACCUGGAGGAGGGGGCUCUGGACCCCUGGCUCACAUCUGCACUGGGACUGGCUCUGCCUUGUACUGGACCACGUCCACCUGCCUGCGAGAUCUGCGGAAUUUUUUCUUACUUCUUACCUCUAAAUGGAACCACAUCCUUUAGCAGCAAUUCUCAUGAUAAAAGCUUUCGUGCUGGAUAUUUUUAGAUGGAACUGAGCAAGAUACGCUGAGAAAGGCAGGACAAGUAUCUACUGCAUUUCUGAUUGCACGUGUUCCAGAGGAGGGCUAUACACAUUGCUGACUUUGCCAAGAACAAGCAUACCUUUUCAGAGAAGCUUGGCAGAGAAUGCAUGCAUUGAGAAGGGAACAAGCAGACCCAACGUGUUUUGCUGUCCUUUUGCAUGUCACCAAUGAAUUCACACCAUUCUGCAUGAGUUUUAAUAGGAAUGCUCUGGUACGGUGAACAAAGGAAUAAAGCAGGGAUGUAAUAUGAGGGCUCGUACA
Molecule: long non-coding RNA, 716 nt
Filed under: Anser brachyrhynchus (Pink-footed goose)
Lineage: Eukaryota; Metazoa; Chordata; Aves; Anseriformes; Anatidae
Description: lncRNA (ENSABRG00000000640.1)
Source: RNAcentral